AUUGAACGCUGGCGGAAUGCUUUACACAUGCAAGUCGAACGGUAGAGGGGGCAACCCCUCGAGAGUGGCGAACGGGUGAGUAAUAUAUCGGAACGUGCCCAGUCGUGGGGGAUAACGUAGCGAAAGUUACGCUAAUACCGCAUACGACCUACGGAAGAAAGCGGGGGAUCGCAAGACCUCGCGCGAUUGGAGCGGCCGAUAUCAGAUUAGGUAGUUGGUGGGGUAAAGGCUCACCAAGCUAACGAGCUGUAGCUGGCCUGAGAGGACGACCAGCCACACUGGAACUGAGACACGGUCCAGACUCCUACGGGAGGCAGCAGUGGGGAAUUUUGGACAAUGGACGCAAGUCUGAUCCAGCCAUUCCGCGUGCAGGAUGAAGGCCCUCGGGUUGUAAACUGCUUUUGUACGGAACGAAAAGGUUUCCAUUAAUACUGGGAGCUCAUGACGGUACCGUAAGAAUAAGCACCGGCUAACUACGUGCCAGCAGCCGCCGCGG
RNAcentral lists this ribosomal RNA (496 nucleotides) under uncultured bacterium. RNAcentral describes it as "partial 16S ribosomal RNA". It matches the Rfam family "Bacterial small subunit ribosomal RNA", at positions 30 to 523 of the family's 1533-position model. The record is from RNAcentral.